AGCCAAUUCUCCUUUCACUGUGUGUUUUGUCUCAGUUGUGGCUCUCCACACCAUUCCAGGGGCUGAAGAUUGGAGUUCCCAGUGAACAUCUGCAUUUUCCAGCUGGAGAAGCAAGGAAUGCCCAACAGAACAGAGACAGUGAUUCCCAUCGGAAGAAAGUGCAGAUAAUUGCCAUUUAUUACCUGCAACACAAAUCAGGUCUGAAUCCUCUGUCUGUGUUGACAUGAAGAAUAACCACUACUCAGUGGAGCAAAAGGUGGUGACCCAGCAGCUAAUGAAGUGUCAGAAUGGAGCCAGCAGAAAAGGAGUGACUUUCAAAGUCAUUGAAAUGGACAAGGAAAAAAAAAAAGGUUCCCACUCUCAGCCCUGCCCCUGUGCUGUCAGCCCCAGCUCUGCCAGGCUGUGGUGUGAUUGCAGAAAUCCCAGCCCUGCUGUGCUUGUCUGGGGAUGGAGUCACUCCCUGUUUGUUUUCAGCACAACAAACAGGAUUAAAUGUCUCUCCCACCUCUGCUCAGAGCUGGGCUGGUGUGAGAAGGAGCUGAGAAGUGAAAAAUUCCAUCAGUGAGUGCCUGUGUGCCAGGCUGGGCAGCUGCUGGAGCAGAAUCCUGGAAGCUCUGCAGUGCCUGGACACAGCUUCGAGGCAGCACCAAGGCAAGAUCACAUCUCAUUCAGCUGGAAGUGGAAGGAAAGGCUGUCCUGCCUUUGAACGCAUCUGUCUGAAGAGCUGGAAUUAAAGAAUUUCUGUUCUCUUGACCUCCUGGUGAAGGCAACAAAGAUCACUGAUGGGUUUGUCUGCAGUGGAACCUGCUGAUGAAUUCCUGCUGGCAUCUCUACAGAAGCAGAGCCUGCCCUGUACAUUGCAGUUUCAGCUACCUGUGGACUCAACAAAGCAGCUGUUUAAAGAUCACACUAAUUUUUGAACAAGGAAAACAAAACGUGACUUGAGGAUCUUUGUGCAAGUCAGCAACAUCUGUGUUUAAUACAGCAAUCAGGCAGUGCUUUGUUUCUGCAAAAGUACAGGAUUCACUUUAAACCUUGGGGAUUUCAAACUAAUCAAAUUAAAGAUCAAGCCAGGGACUGAUGCUUUAAAGAUGGGUGCUGAUGUAAUUUUUUUGAACAGAAUUCCAUUUCAGCUGGGAGGAAGCAGUGAAACACUCCCUUGGCAUGAUGGUUUUUUGCAAGCCUCCACAAGUGACAUUGAAAAAAUGUUCAGGCAAAAUGUUCUUUAGCAGUUUAGGGGGAUUUGUCAAACUAUUGCAUUUACCUCUCUGGCAAUCAGCAAGCUUGGAUGUUCCAAAGGGUGAACUUUAGCAAUGGCCACUUGUGCAAAUUCAGCACUAAAUAAAUGCCAGCAAGCAGCAAAAAUGGAUGUGGUUUAUACAGGAAUGGCAGAGACAGCAUAUGCAUGCUAAUUAUUUUAAUUUUCAUGCACUUGUGCUGCCUUUCCCCAUUUCCCACCCUACUGAAGAUGGUCAUAAUGCCAUCGUGGUGUAGAUGAGAAAAUGGACAAAUAAAAAGAACAGUUAAAUUAUUCUUCAAUUACAGAACCAUGUUUAUCAGUUCAGUAGCUGCUUUCAUAUGAAAUGUUCCUUUUAUUUGCUUGUUGUUAAACAACAUUUAAAUAUUGUGAAAGAUUAUGAGUUGGGAAGAGCAGCACAUUCUUUACAGCCCUUCUCUGCUGCUAGAACAUUAUUGCAAAUAAAUCAGAGAAUUCACUUUGCUGGUAUUUGGUUUAAGGCUUUUUUCUUUCAAUUAAAAGAAACAUCUUAAGCGAGCUGCUUGCCACCUCCAGAAGAGUUUGCAGUAUGUAAAGGUUACAUUGCAAAUAAAUAAAACCUCAAACGCAAACUCAUCCAGGCCGUGAUAUUUCUCCUCAGAGCAUCCCAGCCCCUCGCUGUGCAUUCCAACACGCAGCCCAAAAUGUGUUUAUUUCCCUGCCUGGCGCUGGGGAUCAUUUCAAGCCCAUUAGGUCAGACCUGGAGAGGGAUUGUUCAGAGCUCUUGAAACUCCUAAGAAAAAAAAAAAAAUGACAAUGAUUAUUUUGGUCACACCGAGGCUUUUUCCUCUCCCCCUUGCCAUCUGUUUUUGAAUGUCUGGAUGCUCAGAUCUCCCUGUGGGCAGGUGCUGAGGGAGCUGCUCAUCACUGAGCGGUGACACAGAGAGCAAAGGGAAGGGGGAGCUCCCUCUGCACCCCCAGGCAGGGGCAGGAGCCUCUGACAGGGCAAUGAGCCCCCAGGCAAAUCCAAUCUUCAUCGCUGGCCUGCUCCUAGGAGCAACCAUUGCUAUCCCAAAUAACCACGGAAUCAUGGCCUGGACCAGCCUUGAAACCAACACACUCACCAUCCUCCCGUUAAUCUCAAAAUCCCAGACAGGGCCAGGGACACUGCUGGGAGAUUUGGGCUCCUCAUCCUCUGCUGGCUCCCGAGCUCCAGCUUUACUCCACAAUGCAGAUUUAAUGAAGGCAGUUUAACACAAGCUUUAUAUUUAGCUUCCCCUGUAAUAAAUUACUGUGCUCCCUCUGAAAUCUGUGGAAAUGGGGUGUUAUUUUUAAUGGGCAGGAAGAUAUGGUCCAUGUUGUCUGGAAGGAUUCCCAGAGUCUGAAAUGGGUUUGUGUUGCUGGAAAACGCCAUUUGAAUUUUACCUUUUGUCUUAAAGAUUGCAAAGAGCAAACUUUCUUUUGAACAUGCAUCAGCUGAUAUGG
Zonotrichia leucophrys gambelii is the source of this 2701-nucleotide long non-coding RNA. RefSeq lists it as uncharacterized. The record is from RefSeq and is a predicted model, not a curated record. Lineage: Eukaryota; Metazoa; Chordata; Aves; Passeriformes; Passerellidae. The transcript has 7 exons.